AUAGUACUCCCUCUGUCCGGAAAUACUUGUCGAAGAAAUGGAUAUAUCUAGACGUAUUUUAGUUCUAGAUACAACCAUUUUUAUGCAUUUCUCUGACAAGUAUUUCUGGACAGAGGGAGUAUAUC
Triticum urartu is the source of this 125-nucleotide non-coding RNA. The record is from Rfam. Lineage: Eukaryota; Viridiplantae; Streptophyta; Magnoliopsida; Poales; Poaceae.